Molecule: small RNA, 566 nt
Filed under: Pan troglodytes (chimpanzee)
Lineage: Eukaryota; Metazoa; Chordata; Mammalia; Primates; Hominidae
Description: processed transcript
Source: RNAcentral
GCGGUCUUGGGGUGUGCGAUCUCGCUGAGCCUCCUCGCACGCUCUACAGAGGAUCAUUUCAACUCUGGCAAAUAAAAAUGAUGAAAUUCAGAACUUUAUUGAUACACUACAUCAUACACUAAAAGGAGUUCAGGAAAAUUCGUCCAACAUACUCUCAGAGUUAGAUGAAGAAUUUGAUAGUUUAUACUCUAUACUGGAUGAAGUAAAAGAAAGUAUGAUUAACUGUAUCAAGCAGGAACAAGCUCGUAAAUCCCAAGAGUUACAGAGUCAGAUUAGUCAAUGUAAUAAUGCCCUGGAGAACUCUGAAGAACUAUUAGAAUUUGCAACAAGGUCAUUAGAUAUAAAGGAACCUGAAGAAUUUUCAAAGAGUCACAAUGGCUUCAGCCUUUCGCCUUUCUUUGAAACCAAAGGUCAGUGACAACAUGACUCAUUUAAUGGUGGAUUUCUCACAGGAAAGACAGAUGCUGCAAACUUUGAAGUUUUUGCCAGUCCCCAAAGCUCCAGAGAUAGAUCCAGUAGAGUGUUUGGUGGCAGAUAACUCUGUAACAGUGGCUUGGAGAAUGCCA